AGCAGCCGCGGUAAUUCCAGCUCCAAUAGCGUAUAUUAAAGUUGUUGCAGUUAAAAAGCUCGUAGUUGAAUUUCGGGGUCAGUAGGUUGGUCAUGCCUCCGGUAUGCACUGGUCUCACUGAUUCCUCCUUCCUGAUGAGCCGUAAUGCCAUUAAUUUGGUGUUGCGGGGAAUCUGGACUGUUACUUUGAAAAAUUAGAGUGUUUAAAGCAAGCUAACGCUUGAAUACAUUAGCAUGGAAUAAUGGAAUAGGACGUUCGAUCCUAUUUUGUUGGUUUCUAGGAUUGACGUAAUGAUUAAUAGGGAUAGUUGGGGGCAUUAGUAUUCAAUUGUCAGAGGUGAAAUUCUUGGAUUUAUUGAAGACUAACUACUGCGAAAGCAUUUGCCAAGGAUGUUUUCAUUAAUCAAGAACGAGAGUUAGGGGAUCGAAGACGAUCAGAUACCGUCGUAGU
RNAcentral lists this ribosomal RNA (450 nucleotides) under uncultured Glomeromycotina. RNAcentral's name for it is "SSU rRNA". It matches the Rfam family "Eukaryotic small subunit ribosomal RNA", at positions 569 to 1024 of the family's 1831-position model. The record is from RNAcentral. Lineage: Eukaryota; Fungi; Glomeromycota.